CCUACGGGUGGCAGCAGUGAGGAAUAUUGGUCAAUGGACGAGAGUCUGAACCAGCCAAGUAGCGUGAAGGAUGACUGCCCUAUGGGUUGUAAACUUCUUUUAUAUGGGAAUAAAAUGUUCCACGUGUGGGAUUUUGUAUGUACCAUAUGAAUAAGGAUCGGCUAACUCCGUGCCAGCAGCCGCGGUAAUACGGAGGAUCCGAGCGUUAUCCGGAUUUAUUGGGUUUAAAGGGAGCGUAGGUGGAUUGUUAAGUCAGUUGUGAAAGUUUGCGGCUCAACCGUAAAAUUGCAGUUGAAACUGGCAGUCUUGAGUACAGUAGAGGUGGGCUGAAUUCGUGGUGUAGCGGUGAAAUGCUUAGAUAUCACGAAGAACUCCGAUUGCGAAGGCAGUUCACUGGACUGCAACUGACACUGAGGCUCGAAAGUGUGGGUAUCAAACAGGAUUAGAUGCCCCUGUAGUC
This 460-nucleotide ribosomal RNA is filed under the name uncultured bacterium. RNAcentral's name for it is "partial 16S ribosomal RNA". It matches the Rfam family "Bacterial small subunit ribosomal RNA", at positions 338 to 795 of the family's 1533-position model. The record is from RNAcentral.